RNAcentral lists this ribosomal RNA (254 nucleotides) under uncultured bacterium. RNAcentral's name for it is "partial 16S ribosomal RNA". It matches the Rfam family "Bacterial small subunit ribosomal RNA", at positions 524 to 776 of the family's 1533-position model. The record is from RNAcentral.
UACGUAGGGUGCAAGCGUUGUCCGGAAUUAUUGGGCGUAAAGAGCUCGUAGGCGGUCAGUCGCGUCUGCUGUGAAAAACUCGGGGCUUAACUCCGGGCCUGCAGUGGGUACGGGCUGACUAGAGUGCGGUAGGGGAGACUGGAAUUCCUGGUGUAGCGGUGAAAUGCGCAGAUAUCAGGAGGAACACCGGUGGCGAAGGCGGGUCUCUGGGCCGAUACUGACGCUGAGGAGCGAAAGCGUGGGGAGCGAACAGG